Molecule: ribosomal RNA, 317 nt
Filed under: uncultured bacterium
Lineage: Bacteria
Description: bacterial SSU rRNA
Rfam family: Bacterial small subunit ribosomal RNA
Source: RNAcentral
GACGAACGCUGGCGGCGUGCUUAACACAUGCAAGUCGAACGAGAAGAGAUGAGAAGCUUGCUUCUUAUCAAUUCGAGUGGCAAACGGGUGAGUAACGCGUAAGCAACCUGCCCUUCAGAUGGGGACAACAGCUGGAAACGACUGCUAAUACCGCAUAAGCCCACGGCCCGGCAUCGGGUUGAGGGAAAAGGAUUUAUUCGCUUCAGGAUGGACUCGCGUCCAAUUAGCUAGUUGGUGAGGUAACGGCCCACCAAGGCGACGAUUGGUAGCCGGACUGAGAGGUUGAACGGCCACAUUGGGACUGAGACACGGCCCAG